AACGUUGUCUAUUGAGGAGUUCGGUUUGAACCUGAGUUCUAAGGGAGUGAGGCCUUUUCUGCGUUA
RNAcentral lists this transfer RNA (66 nucleotides) under Catillopecten margaritatus. RNAcentral describes it as "Catillopecten sp. m YTL-2023 tRNA-Ser". Lineage: Eukaryota; Metazoa; Mollusca; Bivalvia; Pectinida; Propeamussiidae. The record is from RNAcentral.